CGAGAGCCGCCAUCUUCUCGCGCCUAACGUUUUGUAUGGUUUUGUUCUCUGCAAUCCGCGCACACAGCUCAUCGGUGGCUGCACGUCUGCUCGGCGUCGCAAUGCGGCCUGCGUCAUUUUCUGGUGCUCGCGCAAUCGGUGUGAAACAUGUCGCAUGUGAAAUGUUUGAUAGAAGUGCCUCACGUCCAAGUCAAGCCGCCGUACGGGUGUAUGGCUGUGCGCCCCGUUCUCGGAAGCGUCGACGGGUUUCCGCCAUGCGGAUUUCAGCGUUUGGACUCUACUUUUGGUGAGGAUGUUGAUCGACCUUGGGCCUGGCGACAGCACACCCGACAUCGCCAAAGUGCAGCCUAUCAGUUGAGUGCCCCCGAAUGGACCAUCAACAUUGGAAAAUGAAGCAAAGCCAGGGGGAAAAGGUUCCGCUAACACUGCAUUCAGUAUGGUGGCCCAGACGUGUAUGCAAGCAACCUCCUUCAUGUGGACCAAGAACUACUCUGCAGUGUCUCACAGACUUCCAUGCGAAGCCCUCAACAUUCUCCUCUCAGUGGAAUGGCUGCUCAUCUAUCUGCGUGUCCAUCACCAAGAUGGCCAGUUGUAAAGCUCCUGUACCCGUUUAAGAUAGCUUAAUGAUUUUUUUAUUUAGUUUUCAUGGUUGGCCGUAGAAUCUUAACAUUUUUUAUGUUUCUAACGUUUUUACCUGGCCCAAAGUGGUGCAAUAACUUUAAACCAGUGUAAUGUAUUUAAGUGAUGCUCACUCUAAUGCCUAUCUGGUUUUGUUUGUGUUUAAGAAAUUUGAAUGUCUGAUGAGGUAACAGCAUUUAAACUUGUCAUCGUGGCUCUUUUCAGUGAGCUGCUAGGAAAUAAGAUGCAAAACUUAUCACACGCCAGUUGUAGCAUUUUUGUUUUCAAGACUAAAGUAUACAUGUUUCAAAAGAUGGAAAGUGGGGAAAAAAGCCUCAAGAACAUAAUCAUCCUAGGAUUGUCAUGUCCUUACAACUCUGCAAUGACUAAUGCCUCAUACAUCUUGGGAGCACAUUGGUCGCAAUGCCUACAGGUAUACUUGAUAAGAGAAUAGCUUGCACUCAGAUUUGCCACGCAGUUGAUGGCUGAUAGCUUUUGUUUGUCGUCUUCAUGUUACUACUAUGUAUUCAAUAUGCAUUUACAUGUGCUGCGGUUUUUUGCAGUC
Molecule: long non-coding RNA, 1183 nt
Organism: Dermacentor albipictus
Lineage: Eukaryota; Metazoa; Arthropoda; Arachnida; Ixodida; Ixodidae
Source: RefSeq, a predicted model, not a curated record